AGGUGAACCUGCGGAGGGAUCAUUACACAAUAUGAAGGCGGGCUGGCACUCCUUGAGAGGACCGGCCUUGCUGAAUUAUUCACCCGUGUCUUUUGCGUACUUCUUGUUUCCUGGGUGGGUUCGCCCACCACCAGGACAAACCAUAAACCUUUUGCAAUUGCAAUCAGCUCAGUAACAACAUAAUAAUUACAACUUUCAACAACGGAUCUCUUGGUUCUGGCAUCGAUGAAGAACGCAGCGAAAUGCGAUAAGUAGUGUGAAUUGCAGAAUUCAGUGAAUCAUCGAAUCUUUGAACGCACAUUGCGCCCUUUGGUAUUCCAAAGGGCAUGCCUGUUCGAGCGUCAUUUGUACCCUCAAGCUUUGCUUGGUGUUGGGCGUCUUGUCUUCAGCUGCUGCAGACUCGCCUUAAAGUCAUUGGCAGCCGGCCUACUGGUUUCGGAGCGCAGCACAAGUCGCGCUCUUUUCCAGCCAAGGUCAGCGUCCACCAAGCCUUUUUUCAACUUUUGACCUCGGAUCAGGUAGGGAUACCC
Molecule: ribosomal RNA, 530 nt
Filed under: Alternaria tumida
Lineage: Eukaryota; Fungi; Ascomycota; Dothideomycetes; Pleosporales; Pleosporaceae
Description: partial 18S ribosomal RNA
Rfam family: 5.8S ribosomal RNA (bases 191-344)
Source: RNAcentral